Molecule: non-coding RNA, 893 nt
Organism: Salvelinus sp. IW2-2015
Lineage: Eukaryota; Metazoa; Chordata; Actinopteri; Salmoniformes; Salmonidae
Source: RefSeq, a predicted model, not a curated record
GGAAGGGGUCUGAAUACUUUCCGAAUGCACUGUAUUCACGAUUUUAAAUCAUGUAAAACACUAGUGUGCUCUAAAUGCUUUGCCGAGGGCAGCCGGAUGAGGACCCUGACAGGGCUGUUUUUGUGUAGUAACGUUAGACAAUUCCAGGAGGCCUCUUAGACCUAUAACGUUAUUGGAAGUUAAAUUGAGCUGCUAGUUUAAAAUGCUAAUGAUUACAAAAUUACACUAUCAUUAUAGUUACAUUUGCUUUCCCUUUUUACAGUGCCCCUGUCAAUGCUGAAAAGAUAGACAGAUGAGCCCACUGCGGAGUUAGUUGGUGAUCCAUGAAAAUACAAGUUUACAAAUAUCCUGACAGCUUAUCUUCAGUUCCAACCAGGUUGCAGAGCUGCUAUUCCCAAAGCAUGAUUACACAGAAGCCCCUGCCUACGGAAGAGCCGCUGGAGGCAGCGCGUGAUGAAAUAGAUUGACUGGCAAAGGAGAAUGACUCACUAAGUCAUCGGUUUAGUUUCCAGUGUGAUCCCAGGUUCAUCAUGUUGUACACUGGGGUAAAAGACUGACACCCUGAAAGCUGAUUACCAGGCUUAGAAGACAUAUUUAAUAGCAGGAUCCCCCUGACACUCGCCAGUUCAGUUAACCAGCUGUGGUUUGUACAUGCUGUACUCAACUUUCCAAGCGCUACUGUUUUUAAGAACUCUUAUCUUGUGGCCCUACUUCCACUAUAUGGGAAUGAAUGAAUAAUUGUUUAUUGUAAGCAUUUAUCCAUUUGUCUAACCCUCAAUGUACAGAGGUAAGGGAAAACCCUGUAUUUCUGUGAUGUACAAUAGAUUGUAMAUUCUACCUGAGAAGAAUACCAUGACAAAUGCUUUUCAAACAUGACUAUUUAAUUAUCAAAA